This 75-nucleotide transfer RNA is filed under the name Cordylochernes scorpioides. RNAcentral describes it as "tRNA-Thr". It matches the Rfam family "tRNA". From Rfam's summary of the family: Transfer RNA (tRNA) molecules are approximately 80 nucleotides in length. The record is from RNAcentral. Lineage: Eukaryota; Metazoa; Arthropoda; Arachnida; Pseudoscorpiones; Chernetidae.
GUCUAAUGUAGCCUAGUGUACAUGGCAUCUGCCCGGUAAGCAGAACACUGCGGGUUCGAUUCUCAUCUCUGGACA